GGUUGUAUGGAGUAGUUGGUUAACUUAGGAGAUUCUGAUCGAGCAGCGCUUCGGCGCAGCAGUGUCUGACCUUCUCUUGCCCUGGGUUCGAAUCCCAGUACGACCU
Molecule: non-coding RNA, 106 nt
Organism: Testicularia cyperi
Lineage: Eukaryota; Fungi; Basidiomycota; Ustilaginomycetes; Ustilaginales; Anthracoideaceae
Source: the annotation of a GenBank genome assembly